RNAcentral lists this non-coding RNA (126 nucleotides) under Leptotrombidium deliense. Lineage: Eukaryota; Metazoa; Arthropoda; Arachnida; Trombidiformes; Trombiculidae. The record is from RNAcentral.
GCUGGGCGUGGUGGCGCACGCCUGUCAUCCCAGCCACUUGGGAGGCAGAGACUGGAGGACCGUGAGUUCAAAGCCAGCCUCAGCAAAAAAGCAAGGUGCUAAGGAGCUCAUUGAGACCCUGUCUCU